This 372-nucleotide unclassified non-coding RNA is filed under the name soil metagenome. RNAcentral's name for it is "partial contains 5.8S ribosomal RNA, internal transcribed spacer 2, and large subunit ribosomal RNA". The stretch from base 1 to 120 matches the Rfam family "5.8S ribosomal RNA", at positions 35 to 154 of the family's 154-position model. The record is from RNAcentral.
GAUGAAGAACGUAGCGAAAUGCGAUAAGUAAUGUGAAUUGCAGAAUUCAGUGAAUCAUCGAAUCUUUGAACGCACAUUGCGCCCUUUGGUAUUCCGAAGGGCAUGUCUGUUCGAGCGUCAUUAUCACCCCUCAAGCCCUCGGCUUGGUGUUGGACGGUUUGGUGGAGGCCCCCUCGGGGGCUCCUGCCCCUCCCAAAGACAAUGACGGCGGCCUCGUUGGACCCCCGGUACACUGAGUUCUUCACGGGACACGUAUCGGACACAUGGGUUUACGGGACACGGUCUGCCUCCCCUCAGGGAGAAUCUUUCUAAGGUUGACCUCGGAUCAGGUAGGGAUACCCGCUGAACUUAAGCAUAUCAAUAAGCGGAGGA